RNAcentral lists this ribosomal RNA (575 nucleotides) under fungal sp. RNAcentral describes it as "eukaryotic LSU rRNA". The stretch from base 196 to 349 matches the Rfam family "5.8S ribosomal RNA". The record is from RNAcentral. Lineage: Eukaryota; Fungi.
AAGUAAAAAUCGUAACAAGGUCUCCGUUGGUGAACCAGCGGAGGGAUCAUUAGAGAGUGCCCUACUCCCAAAACCCAUGUGAACUUACCUGUACGUUGCCUCGGCGGGGGAGGGGCUGGCCACCCCCCCUCCGCCAGGCGGCCCACCAAACCCUGUUUAGCCCUGAAUCUCUGAGACGAUAAAACAAUGAGUUAAAACUUUCAACAACGGAUCUCUUGGCUCUGGCAUCGAUGAAGAACGCAGCGAAAUGCGAUACGUAGUGUGAAUUGCAGAAUUUAGUGAAUCAUCGAAUCUUUGAACGCACAUUGCGCCCGCCAGUAUUCUGGCGGGCAUGCCUGUUCGAGCGUCAUUUCAACCCCUUAAGCCCUUGUCGCUUAGUGUUGGGAGCCGACGGCGUCCUGCCGUCGCUCCUCAAAUCCAGUGGCGGAGCCGGUUUCGCGCUCUGGGCGUAGUAGAUUUUCUCCAUCUCGCCUGCAGCCGGGGCCGGCCUCCCUGCCGUAAAACCACCACCAAUGUACCCAAAGGUUGACCUCGAAUCAGGUAGGAAUACCCGCUGAACUUAAGCAUAUCAAUAC